AACGGCAAGUGAAGCGGCAAAAGCUCAAAUUUGAAAUCUGGCCUCCUACGGGGGUCCGAGUUGUAAUUUGUAGAGGAUGCUUCGGGUGUGGCCGCCGUCUAAGUUCCUUGGAACAGGACGUCAGAGAGGGUGAGAAUCCCGUCUUGGGCGGCCGGUCCGCGCCCGUGUGAAGCUCCUUCGACGAGUCGAGUUGUUUGGGAAUGCAGCUCUAAGCGGGUGGUAAAUUUCAUCUAAAGCUAAAUACUGGUCGGAGACCGAUAGCGCACAAGUAGAGUGAUCGAAAGGUUAAAAGCACCUUGAAAAGGGAGUUAAACAGCACGUGAAAUUGUUGAAAGGGAAGCGCUUGCGGCCAGACUCGGGGGCGGGGUUCAGCGGGUGCUCGUCGCCCGUGCACUCCCCGUUUCCCGGGCCAGCAUCAGUUUCGACGGCCGGUCAAAGGCCUCCGGAAUGUGUCGUCUCUCGGGACGUCUUAUAGCCGGGGGUGCAAUGCGGCCCGUCGGGACUGAGGAACGCGCUUCGGCUCGGAUGCUGGCGUAAUGGCCGUAAGCGGCCCGUCUUGAAACACGGACCAAGGAGUCUAACAUCCACGCGAGUGUUCGGGUGUCAAACCCGUGCGCGCAGUGAAAGCGAACGGAGGUGGGAGCCUUAGGGCGCACCAUCGACCGAUCCUGAAGUCUUCGGAUGGAUUUGAGUAGGAGCGUGGCCGUUGGGACCCGAAAGAUGGUGAACUAUGCCUGAAUAGGGUGAAGCCAGAGGAAACUCUGGUGGAGGCUCGCAGCGGUUCUGACGUGCAAAUCGAUCGUCAAAUUU
Molecule: ribosomal RNA, 810 nt
Filed under: Nannizzia fulva
Lineage: Eukaryota; Fungi; Ascomycota; Eurotiomycetes; Onygenales; Arthrodermataceae
Description: LSU rRNA
Rfam family: Eukaryotic large subunit ribosomal RNA
Source: RNAcentral